GAUGAACGCUGGCGGCGUGCUUAACACAUGCGAGUCGAGCGGUGAAGCCAAGCUUGCUUGGUGGAUCAGUGGCGAACGGGUGAGUAACACGUGAGCAACCUGCCCUGGACUCUGGGAUAAGCGCUGGAAACGGCGUCUAAUACUGGAUAUGAGCCUCUUCCGCAUGGUGGGGGUUGGAAAGAUUUUUUGGUCUGGGAUGGGCGCGCGGCCUAUCAGCUUGUUGGUGAGGUAAUGGCUCACCAAGGCGUCGACGGGUAGCCGGCCUGAGAGGGUGACCGGCCACACUGGGACUGAGACACGGCCCAGACUCCUACGGGAGGCAGCAGUGGGGAAUGUUGCACAAUGGGCGAAAGCCUGAUGCAGCAACGCCGCGUGAGGGAUGACGGCCUUCGGGUUGUAAACCUCUUUUAGCAGGGAAGAAGCGAAAGUGACGGUACCUGCAGAAAAAGCGCCGGCUAACUACGUG
This 466-nucleotide ribosomal RNA is filed under the name uncultured bacterium. Its description in RNAcentral is "partial 16S ribosomal RNA". It matches the Rfam family "Bacterial small subunit ribosomal RNA", at positions 28 to 507 of the family's 1533-position model. The record is from RNAcentral.